RNAcentral lists this ribosomal RNA (467 nucleotides) under uncultured bacterium. Its description in RNAcentral is "bacterial SSU rRNA". It matches the Rfam family "Bacterial small subunit ribosomal RNA", at positions 28 to 496 of the family's 1533-position model. The record is from RNAcentral.
GACGAACGCUGGCGGCGUGCUUAAUACAUGCAAGUCAACUUGACUUUAGAUAGCAAUAUCGAAAAGUAGGGUGGCGCACGGGUGCGUAACGCGUAGGUAAUCUGCCCUGAGGUCUGACAUAACCCGUCGAAAGGCGGGCUAACAUCAGAUGAUAUAUAAUCACGACAUCGUGGAAAUAUCAAAUCUUCGGAGCCUUGGGAUGAGCCUGCGUCUGAUUAGGUAGUUGGCGGAGUAAUAGCCCACCAAGCCUACGAUCAGUAGCUGGUCUGAGAGGAUGAUCAGCCACACUGGGACUGAGACACGGUCCAGACUCCUACGGGAGGCAGCAGUAAGGAAUAUUGCUCAAUGGGGGAAACCCUGAAGCAGCAACGCCGCGUGAAGGAUGAAUACUUUGUAUGUAAACUUCUGUAAGAUGGGAAAAAUAUUCUACCUCGGAGAAUUGAUUGUACCAUCAGAGUAAGCCCCGG